Molecule: ribosomal RNA, 373 nt
Filed under: uncultured organism
Description: partial 16S ribosomal RNA
Rfam family: Bacterial small subunit ribosomal RNA
Source: RNAcentral
GUAGGUGGCAAGCGUUGUCCGGAAUUAUUGGGCGUAAAGCGCGCGCAGGCGGUUCUUUAAGUCUGAUGUGAAAGCCCACGGGCUCAACCGUGGAGGGUCAUUGGAAACUGGAGAACUUGAGUACAGAAGAGGAAAGCGGAAUUCCACGUGUAGCGGUGAAAUGCGUAGGGAUGUGGAGGAACACCAGUGGCGAAGGCGGCUUUCUGGUCUGUAACUGACGCUGAGGCGCGAAAGCGUGGGGAGCAAACAGGAUUAGAUACCCUGGUAGUCCACGCCGUAAACGAUGAGUGCUAAGUGUUAGGGGGUUUCCGCCCCUUAGUGCUGCAGCUAACGCAUUAAGCACUCCGCCUGGGGAGUACGGCCGCAAAGGCUG